AUUGGACGCUGGCGGCAGGCCUAACACAUGCAAGUCGAACGGUAGCACAGAGAGCUUGCUCUCGGGUGACGAGUGGCGGACGGGUGAGUAACGUCUGGGAAACUGCCCGAUGGAGGGGGAUAACUACUGGAAACGGUAGCUAAUACCGCAUAACGUCGCAAGACCAAAGUGGGGGACCUUAGGGCCUCACACCAUCGGAUGUGCCCAGAUGGGAUUAGCUAGUCGGUGGGGUAAUGGCUCACCUAGGCGACGAUCCCUAGCUGUUCUGAGAGGAUGACCAUGCACACUGGAACUGAGACACGGUCCAGACUCCUACGGGAGGCAGCAGUGGGGAAUAUUGCACAAUGGGCGCAAGCCUGAUGCAGCCAUGCCGCGUGUAUGAAGAAGGCCUUCGGGUUGUAAAGUACUUUCAGCGGGGAGGAAGGCGGUGAAGUUAAUAACUUCACCGAUUGACGUUACCCUCAGAAGAAGCACCAGCUAACUCCGUGCCAGCAGCCGCGGUAA
This 504-nucleotide ribosomal RNA is filed under the name uncultured bacterium. RNAcentral's name for it is "partial 16S ribosomal RNA". It matches the Rfam family "Bacterial small subunit ribosomal RNA", at positions 30 to 523 of the family's 1533-position model. The record is from RNAcentral.